AGAGUUUGAUCCUGGCUCAGGACGAACGCUGACGGCGUGCUUUAGACAUGCAAGUCGAACGCGAAAGCCCUUUUAGGGUGAGUAGAGUGGCGAACGGGUGAGUAACACGUGGGUAACCUGCCCCUCGCAGGGGGACAACCGGGGGAAACCCCGGCUAAUACCCCCUACGCUUGCCGGACCGCAUGAUCCGGCAAGGAAAGGUAGCUUCGGCCAUCCGGCGAGGGAUGGGCCCGCGGUGCAUUAGCUAGUUGGUGGGGUAACGGCCCACCAAGGCGACGAUGCAUAGCUGGUCUGAGAGGAUGAUCAGCCACACUGGGACUGAGACACGGCCCAGACUCCUACGGGAGGCAGCAGUCGGGAAUCUUGCGCAAUGGGCGAAAGCCUGACGCAGCAACGCCGUGUGGGCGACGAAGGCCUUCGGGUCGUAAAGCCCUGUUGUUGGGGACGAAGGGCGAAGGGUUAAUAGCCCCUAGCCUGACGGUACCCUUCGAGGAAGCCCCGGCUAACUACGUGCCAGCAGCCGCGGUAAUACGUAGGGGGCGAGCGUUGUCCGGAAUCAUUGGGCGUAAAGAGCGUGUAGGCGGCUCGGUAAGUCCGCCGUGAAAACCCGGGGCUCAACCCCGGGCGUGCGGUGGAUACUGCCAGGCUAAAGGGUGGUAGAGGCGAGUGGAAUUCCCGGUGUAGCGGUGAAAUGCGCAGAUAUCGGGAGGAACACCAGUAGCGAAGGCGGCUCGCUGGGCCAUUCCUGACGCUGAGACGCGAAAGCUAGGGGAGCGAUCCGGAUUAGAUACCCCUGUAGUCC
This 802-nucleotide ribosomal RNA is filed under the name uncultured Rubrobacter sp. RNAcentral's name for it is "bacterial SSU rRNA". It matches the Rfam family "Bacterial small subunit ribosomal RNA", at positions 8 to 796 of the family's 1533-position model. The record is from RNAcentral. Lineage: Bacteria; Bacillati; Actinomycetota; Rubrobacteria; Rubrobacterales; Rubrobacteraceae.